GUGACCCUUCGUGCAUCACGCGUUGUCGCAAUUGUACGACACGGUCAUGUCUUCAUUUACCGAAAGGAGGGUGCAAGUGUGGCUGCGUGCCAUUCACCACGUUAUGCGCACCAUGGAACACGACGAAAUGCAGGCCUCGUGGACCUUAUCCCACGUGCCAUCUCAUAGGCAGAGAAUGUGACUGCUACUGUUGAGUGGAACAUUCGUCUAAGAAAAACCUAUCUAUCACCGGCUAGACUACGACGUAACUGCCACUCCAGAUUUCUACAAAACUUCAGUGCCUAACUAAAGCUACUUCAUGACAUAUAUCACUAAAAAGUGUGAGACUCUAC
This is a long non-coding RNA of Dermacentor silvarum, 332 nucleotides long. RefSeq lists it as uncharacterized. Lineage: Eukaryota; Metazoa; Arthropoda; Arachnida; Ixodida; Ixodidae. The record is from RefSeq and is a predicted model, not a curated record. The transcript has 3 exons.